Molecule: ribosomal RNA, 500 nt
Filed under: uncultured bacterium
Lineage: Bacteria
Description: bacterial SSU rRNA
Rfam family: Bacterial small subunit ribosomal RNA
Source: RNAcentral
AAAAGAUCAAAGCUGGGUCGCAAGACCUGGUGCUUCAGGAUAAGCCCGCGACCUAUCAGCUAGUUGGCAGGGUAACGGCCUACCAAGGCAAAGACGGGUAGCUGGUCUGAGAGGACGACCAGCCACACUGGAACUGAGACACGGUCCAGACACCUACGGGUGGCAGCAGUCGAGAAUUUUUCACAAUGGGCGAAAGCCUGAUGGAGCGACGCCGCGUGGGGGAUGAAUGGCUUCGGCCCGUAAACCCCUGUCAUUCGGGAUCAAUGCGCCUGGUCUAAUACAUCAGGCGUUGAUAGUACCGGAAGAGGAAGGGACGGCUAACUCUGUGCCAGCAGCCGCGGUAAUACAGAGGUCCCAAGCGUUGUUCGGAUUCACUGGGCGUAAAGGGUGCGUAGGCGGCCAGGUAAGUCUGGUGUGAAAUCUCGGAGCUUCAACUUCCGAAACGGGACUUGGAAACUCUCUUGGCUUUGAAGGUUGGGAAGGGGGGAACUGGAAAUUCU